This 301-nucleotide ribosomal RNA is filed under the name uncultured bacterium. RNAcentral describes it as "partial 16S ribosomal RNA". It matches the Rfam family "Bacterial small subunit ribosomal RNA", at positions 509 to 809 of the family's 1533-position model. The record is from RNAcentral.
CAGCCGCCGCGGUAAUACGUAGGUGGCAAGCGUUGUCCGGAAUUAUUGGGCGUAAAGGGCUCGCAGGCGGUUUCUUAAGUCUGAUGUGAAAGCCCCCGGCUCAACCGGGGAGGGUCAUUGGAAACUGGGAAACUUGAGUGAAGAAGAGGAGAGUGGAAUUCCACGUGCAGCGGUGAAAUGCGUAGAGAUGUGGAGGAACACCAGUGGCGAAGGCGACUCUCUGGUCUGUAACUGACGCUGAGGAGCGAAAGCGUGGGGAGCGAACGGGAUUAGAUACCCCGGUAGUCCCUGUCUCUUAUAA